GGCUUCCAGGGUUGGCACGGUGGCUGCAACAGCUAGCUCGACAAUCUACAAAAAGCGCCCGCCUCAACGACGAGACGGCACUUUCCCGAUCGAACGGGACUUGGACAAAGGCGUCCUGCUGGCAACAGCGGGACGCC
Molecule: small RNA, 137 nt
Filed under: Metapseudomonas resinovorans NBRC 106553
Lineage: Bacteria; Pseudomonadati; Pseudomonadota; Gammaproteobacteria; Pseudomonadales; Pseudomonadaceae
Description: Pseudomonas resinovorans NBRC 106553 Pseudomonas sRNA P11
Rfam family: Pseudomonas sRNA P11
About the family: P11 is located between a putative threonine protein kinase and putative nitrate reductase and appears to be conserved in several Pseudomonas species. P11 has a predicted Rho independent terminator at the 3'end but the function of P11 is unknown.
Source: Rfam by way of RNAcentral